UUGACUGUGUAUGCGAAUUACAGGAAGUAAUCCGCUAAAUAAUGAGGAAAACAAACAAUAGUUAAAUCACUUAAAUGGAUCUGUUAAAACUCUCACAGAAACGAAAUUGCGUUUAGAACAGAAAUUUUUUUAAUUAAACUUACUAAAUCUUGUAUAUAAUAUUUUCCUACUUCAUAAAACUUACUUUAAAAUAAAAAAUAAAAAAAGUCUUACCCGGGUAUUGAACAGAUGGCGUGCGGCACCGUAGCACAAGGCACAAGGCACAAGGCUCCAGCCACUCGGCCAACUGUUCCUCUUAAAUAGAUGUUUUUUUUUUGUCAUUGUGUAUGCGUAUUUUAUCAGUUUAGUCCAUAAUGUACCAUAUGUGGUUAUUCUCACUACGCACUCUUCUUCAUUGCCCAGGAAAUCUCUCUAUGCGAAGCUAAUCAAGAUGGACUUGCCCUGUCUUGAUUGACUGUGUGUAAUAAACUUGUUAGUUUAAUCCCUCGUCCGCCCUCGUCGCUGUUCCAAACCUUAUCCACUAGUGGAAUAUGCCGAAAGAUGUUGAACUUAUUCCAGGUUAACCCUUCGCCAUCGUGCUAUAGAAGUUGACGGUUAAAGAAGAGCUUGCUUUCGAUCAAUAACAAUAAAUUAGGUAAAUGUAGAUAAAUUACAAGUGCAUGGGCUCCCUUCUAUUCUGUGGCCCCGUUUCCCUAACUAACCACCUACGGAGGGCUCUGGUCGAACGGGGACUUGAACGGUUCAUGUUCUGAAGAAAAUUUUUGGAGGGACAAGAGUCUAAUCAGGCAGUCUACUAUGAUCCCAAGCAAAAAUUGCCUCGCACUCUAAGCUUCUAUCUUCUUCCCUGUCCGGGUAAUCUCUCUGGGCAGAGUCAAUCAAGGUAGUCUCCCCCUAUCUAGAUUGGAUGUGCGAGGCCUAGCAACUAAUGGAAAUUUGCGUUUGGUUAUUUAAACUUCAGCAGUAUAUCGUUUAUUUCAUUUUAUGUUAGACUAUUUAUUUAGCUAGAAUGAAAAAAGGAAAAUUUCGCUUUGAAGUAUAUUGUUUAUUAUGUUAUUAUUCAUGAAUAAGUAGUUAUGAGAAUAAGUAUAUUAAGUUGUAACAGGAUUAUUUAUAAAUAUAUUUCAUAGAAAUGUGGUUAAAUGGUGUAAGCAAUAAAUGUAUAGGUGUAUGUUUAUAAGAUUAAUAAAGUUGAAGAUAUUUAUAAUUACCGAAUCAAUUUCUUCGACAAAACACUUCAACAUUUCUUUUAAAUAUUUAAGUCUCCCUCCCACCUCCUCGUUGCUUUCCCAAUCUUUGAUUUGUUUACUAUUUGGCAAAAUGACAAUUUAACAUACUGUUUGAAACUUCCGCAACAUGAAACCAUCAUCAAGGUACAGUCACAGUUCAA
This 1387-nucleotide long non-coding RNA is filed under the name Daphnia pulicaria. Its description in RNAcentral is "uncharacterized LOC124326123". The record is from RNAcentral. Lineage: Eukaryota; Metazoa; Arthropoda; Branchiopoda; Diplostraca; Daphniidae.